UCCAGACUCCUACGGGAGGCAGCAGUGGGGAAUAUUGGGCAAUGGGCGCAAGCCUGACCCAGCAACGCCGCGUGAAGGAAGAAGGCUUUCGGGUUGUAAACUUCUUUUAUGAGGGACGAAAGAAAUGACGGUACCUCAUGAAUAAGCCACGGCUAACUCCGUGCCAGCAGCCGCGGUAAUACGGGGGAUGCAAGCGUUGUCCGGAAUCAUUGGGCGUAAAGAGUUCGUAGGUGGCACGUUAAGUCUGGUGUUAAAUGCAGAGGCUCAACCUCUGUUCGGCACUGGAUACUGGCGAGCUUGAAUGCGGUAGAGGUAAAGGGAACUCCUGGUGUAGCGGUGAAAUGCGUAGAUAUCAGGAGGAACAUCGGUGGCGUAAGCGCUUUACUGGGCCGUAAUUGACACUGAGGAACGAAAGCCAGGGUAGCAAAUGGGAUUAGAUACCCGAGUA
RNAcentral lists this ribosomal RNA (448 nucleotides) under uncultured bacterium. Its description in RNAcentral is "partial 16S ribosomal RNA". It matches the Rfam family "Bacterial small subunit ribosomal RNA", at positions 330 to 792 of the family's 1533-position model. The record is from RNAcentral.